Molecule: long non-coding RNA, 590 nt
Organism: Triticum dicoccoides
Lineage: Eukaryota; Viridiplantae; Streptophyta; Magnoliopsida; Poales; Poaceae
Exons: 4
Source: RefSeq, a predicted model, not a curated record
AUCUGUGCUCGAGAAGCUGUGGCGACGGUGGAACGAGAAGGUUCACCCCAUGCCUCAGAGUUCUCCACCGGGAAGAUGAACCCGCAAGUUCCAGGCUGGACUAAAAGUGGAGUGCCUGAGGGUUCUCCUGGGAGAAGGAACUGUGCUGCAAGUCGGGAGGCGCACCAUCCCGUCCGCGCUCAAUGCAUCCGGCAGGAUGGUGAGGGAACUAAGCAGCAAUGGAUAUGUCUUUCCAGGCAUUAAAAUAAGGGAAGCAGGGGAGAGUUCCUCCAGAGCAGUCCUUGAUAAUGAACUUGCACGGAGAGGAAUAGAAACGCAUUCAACCGGUGAUGGACCAAAAGCCUAAAUCGAGGCUGGAUCAAGAUACAAGGGAAGACGGUCAGAGUUCAUAGAAAAUCGUUAGCAGACCAGAAACAAUGUGGAUAGCUCUGACAUGUGGUGCCUGCAGGUUGUGAUGCAGCGGAUGACUUGAGUUAUCAAGUAAGGGAUCGUCGUAGGGGCGCUUGUAGUCCCGCGCUGUCUAAUGGGGCGGUCAUGCUCGUGUUAAUUAAAUUAGGAUCACUAUUUUGAGCCAGGUGUGACAUGUUAGC